GACGGGUGAGUAAUGCGUAGGAAUCUACCUAGUAGUACGGAAUAGCCAUUAGAAAUGGUGGGUAAUACUGUAUAAUCCCCGAGGGGGAAAGAUUUAUCGCUAUUAGAUGAGCCUACGUUAGAUUAGCUAGUUGGUGAGGUAAUGGCUUACCAAGGCUAUGAUCUAUAGCUGGUCUGAGAGGACGAUCAGCCACACUGGAACUGAGAUACGGUCCAGACUCCUACGGGAGGCAGCAGUGGGGAAUAUUGGAUAAUGGGCGAAAGCCUGAUCCAGCUAUGCCGCGUGAGUGAAGAAGGCC
This 298-nucleotide ribosomal RNA is filed under the name Ehrlichia canis. RNAcentral describes it as "partial 16S ribosomal RNA". It matches the Rfam family "Bacterial small subunit ribosomal RNA", at positions 100 to 416 of the family's 1533-position model. The record is from RNAcentral. Lineage: Bacteria; Pseudomonadati; Pseudomonadota; Alphaproteobacteria; Rickettsiales; Anaplasmataceae.